GUGCAUUCAUUCAUGUGGGACUGUCGCCAUACUACUGUGUCUUCUUCUUCUUCAUCAUCAUCCUCUUAUUAUGUACCUUUUUUAUAUCUUCCGCUAUCACGUCUGCAGCCAGGGGCCUCUGGUAUCCAUCCUCCAGCUAUCACAUCACCUCAGCCUGGACUCUGUGGCUGCUGUCAGUGUCUCUCCACACUUCUGCAACAACAGCUUCAGCAGCCACAGGUGCUUUAGUAUCUUAAACCAGCAGUGGUGGAGGCUCAGGACAACAAGGGGGUGGAAGGCAACAGUAAGGCAGAGACCCGGUACGAUCCUGACCCGGUACGACGCCCGCCAUGUCUAGGCCUCUACUCUCAGACCCCCCGGAGAAGCUGCACAGCCAGACGGACUCUUUCCUCACCGCUGCCCGGCUUGUCCGCAGAGGAUGGACGGAGGAGGUGAAGAAGACAGGGUGGCAAUUCUCCCAUUUUGAGUGCUCAGCGAAUCAACCCUCUCCCUCCAGGUCAGAUGGAAAUCUGGGUCCAAAACGUGCAGAGAUUUCCACGAAGGACCGCUGGAGCAGGAGGGUUCCUGUCGAGAACAGCAGGGAGACAGCUGAGAACAGAGAGACCACCGCUGAAAAACAGGCAGAUGAAGCAAAGCAGACAAGUGAAGGCGCAUUCUCGGCUAACGCACAAGCAGAAAGACAGAUGGAUCUCUGCAGUCAAACAGGCAUUGUUCGUGUCUGUUUGUCCGGCUGUCGCACCACAUGCAGACAGUCCAGAAGGUUUAAGGCCCCGAUACUACCAGUCAUUGCUGAGAUUUAGGCUAGCUGUUAUCCAUUUGGUUAUAAGAGUAGGCCUACUGUAAUCUAUCUGCACUUAACGAAAUGAAUACAAUUUGGUGUUGUGACCAUGUGAUUAAAUGGAAGUGUCGUUAUGAUUUAAUGUGUUCAUGCUGAUUUUGUUAAUCAAAAAGCAAAUAUGUAGCCUACAGUA
Long non-coding RNA from Micropterus dolomieu (smallmouth bass), 971 nucleotides. RefSeq lists it as uncharacterized. The record is from RefSeq and is a predicted model, not a curated record. NCBI's taxonomy places the organism in Eukaryota, Metazoa, Chordata, Actinopteri, Centrarchiformes, Centrarchidae. The transcript is spliced from 2 exons.